UCAGUGACUUUUGGACAAGAAGUUCUAUAACUGAUUUUGGUUUUCUCUGAUCUCAGUGUUUUACAUGGUGGUGGAAAGAAUUUAUAGAAACGUAAACAAUUGGAAGACUCUUAAUCAUAAACGUUUCACUUUUGAAGUCUCAAGUGAUGUAAAUUAUUGUCACAUGUGUAGGAAUAACUGCUAUGUUUUAUCCUGUAAGUGAGAAAUUAUGUACCAACUGAUGCUUUUCUGUUUUGAAAUGGGCAGAUGGUAUGUUAAAACAUCUAACUGUAACUAGGAUGCGGGGAUUGUUUUUCUUGAUGUUUUUUAUUUAGUGCAAAGUUAAAGCUUUCUCUUCCUUGCUAUAGCUUUUCUGAAGCUAGAAGGGAGGAGUGUUGGUGUUAGACUUUCUUUAUCAUUUUCAGCCAUUGCUUGUAUGCUUUUGUCUAUAUAGCUGUUAAGGUGUAUUAAGUCUUGCUUUUUUCAUAUAAUGAAACUGAUGCUAUCUCAAAGGAAAUAUCAUCAUGUGGAAAUUUUUCCACAUGAUAUUUUACAUUAAUUAUUAGUUUAUUUUGUUUUGUAACGUGUCUAUAGAUGGAGAAAUAGGCACUUCCUCCGAGAACGUGUCUUGCAGUUCUUGUCAUAAAGCUUCAUAUUUUCUAGCUUUUAAAGCAUCUUCUCUCCAAUUUCAGAAGACCAUGCAGUAGUAUGUUAGUAGGCACUAAGAACCUACUGAAUAGAAGAAAGUAAUGUAUUAACUUCAAUUUUAUUUUCUUCCCUGUUCCUUAAUGAUGUUGAAAGUGUGCAAAGAUGAAUGAAUUCAAGGAAAGAAUUGAAAGAGUACUUGCUAAAACAUGUUAGUGAAGAUCCAAAACAGGUCCUGCAACACCUGUCCCUCUGUAGGGGAACAACUCUAAAGGAGAUAAACAGGGAUGUAACAGCAGAAAGGUUAUUAACUAGGCUCAGUUACAGAACCAGGUGAUCUGUGCUGCUUUACAGGAAUAAUUAAAAAUCAGUUUUUAAUUUCUGAUUUGUCAGUACUCCCUGUUUACACUUUCCACAGUGCAGUCUGUGGGGAAAAAUAACUAGUACUGCUUCCUACUACUGUUAACUCUUGAUGAUUUGCCAAAUAAAUUACAGUACACAGUGCUGAAACUGUUCUGU
This 1143-nucleotide long non-coding RNA is filed under the name Numida meleagris (helmeted guineafowl). RNAcentral describes it as "lncRNA (ENSNMEG00000010155.1)". The record is from RNAcentral. Lineage: Eukaryota; Metazoa; Chordata; Aves; Galliformes; Numididae.